This is a long non-coding RNA of Triticum aestivum (bread wheat), 409 nucleotides long. RefSeq lists it as uncharacterized. The transcript is spliced from 3 exons. Lineage: Eukaryota; Viridiplantae; Streptophyta; Magnoliopsida; Poales; Poaceae. The record is from RefSeq and is a predicted model, not a curated record.
UGCACACUCGUGCAUAUUCGAGAAAAAAAAGAACCUACCGAGCCUUCUGUCCGUGUAGUCUGCAACUUGACAAGGGAAAGCAAACGGAAGCUCAUGGAACUGACGCAACCAUGAUCACACGCUUCGACGUGGCAAGGUGAAAUUUUAUGGAAGAGACCAAGAGGAGUUGCUUCACGUGCUUAAUCACCGAUGUGUACAAAUGCAUAAACAGUGAUGAAUACUUUCUCAUGAAUUUUAAUUUUCCCCUCCAGUCACAACAUCAUUGAUUCCUUGUAUUAAUAUACACCUAAACUGAUGGUUUUAUCUAAUUCUAAGAAAGGCACAUUGCAAGGUAUAUUUAGACAUUAGAAUAUAUAUGUAUGCCCUUGUUGCAAUGCACGGACAAUGUAAUAAUCUUUAUUCCUUUGCA